GGGUUGUGAGGUUAAGCGACUAAGCGUACACGGUGGAUGCCCUGGCAGUCAGAGGCGAUGAAGGGCGUGCUAAUCUGCGAUAAGCGCCGGUAAGGUGAUAUGAACCGUUAUAACCGGCGAUACCCGAAUGGGGAAACCCAGUGUGAUUCGUCACACUAUCAUUAACUGAAUCCAUAGGUUAAUGAGGCGAACCGGGGGAACUGAAACAUCUAAGUACCCCGAGGAAAAGAAAUCAACCGAGAUUCCCCCAGUAGCGGCGAGCGAACGGGGAGGAGCCCAGAGCCUGAAUCAGCAUGUGUGUUAGUGGAAGCGUCUGGAAAGGCGCGCGAUACAGGGUGACAGCCCCGUACACAAAAGCGCAUGUGCUGUGAGCUCGAUGAGUAGGGCGGGACACGUGGUAUCCUGUCUGAAUAUGGGGGGACCAUCCUCCAAGGCUAAAUACUCCUGACUGACCGAUAGUGAACCAGUACCGUGAGGGAAAGGCGAAAAGAACCCCGGCGAGGGGAGUGAAAAAGAACCUGAAACCGUGUACGUACAAGCAGUGGGAGCCCCACCACUAAGCCAGUGGUGAACUCCACAUACGCAUCCUUUGCUGAGGAUACGGUUAACGGAGCGAAAGCGACGUUCAACCUCAAAAGAAGCAGAGGGGGCUUAGUGGUGGGGUGACUGCGUACCUUUUGUAUAAUGGGUCAGCGACUUAUAUUCUGUAGCAAGGUUAACCG
This 722-nucleotide ribosomal RNA is filed under the name Salmonella enterica subsp. enterica serovar Gallinarum. Its description in RNAcentral is "partial 23S ribosomal RNA". It matches the Rfam family "Bacterial large subunit ribosomal RNA", at positions 1 to 652 of the family's 2925-position model. RNAcentral also lists the same sequence under 7 other names. Lineage: Bacteria; Pseudomonadati; Pseudomonadota; Gammaproteobacteria; Enterobacterales; Enterobacteriaceae. The record is from RNAcentral.